GAGGAAGAGGCUAUAUGAACAACAGAUAGAGCAGCUCGGCAACUUCCAAUUGCGGAUUCAUGAUCAGAUGAUAUUACUAGAAGGUGCAAAAGCCACAACUGAGACUGUAGACGCAUUGAGGACCGGGGCAGCUGCAAUGAAAGCAAUGCAGAAAGCAACGAAUAUCGAUGAUGUGGAUAAAACAAUGGAUGAGAUCAAUGAACAAACUGAGAACAUGAAACAGAUCCAAGAAGCACUAUCAAAUCCAAUUGGUGCUGCAGCCGAUUUUGACGAGGAUGAACUGGAAGCGGAACUUGAGGAGCUAGAAGGUGCUGAGUUGGAAGAGCAACUUCUUCAACCUGCAACAACUGCUCCUGCUGCUCCAAUUCCAGUCCCUGCAGGCCGACAAACUGCUCGACCCGCUCCUCAGAAACGAACUGCUGAAGAAGAUGAGCUGGCAGCUCUGCAGGCCGAGAUGGCACUUUGAUGUGAUAUCCGACAAUGUUCUGAAGCAGGUGGCAUUGCCAGAUGAGAAUUCGAAAGAGAGGCGAUGUGAAGAAUUGGCCAGAUGUUCCGAAGAUUUGAACAUUUUUUGCUAUGUUCAGCAAAGCCUGAUGAACAGGUCUCUUUGUGAUAAUAUCAGACAAUAAUGCAAAUUUAAUUUAGGUCUUGUAUACUCUGUAAAUGAAUAUAACAUUACUGUGGUUAGUAUUUGACCUAAUAUGGAGCUAAUGUGUAAGUGUCUCAAUUACACGAAUGCUG
Molecule: unclassified non-coding RNA, 741 nt
Filed under: Hevea brasiliensis (rubber tree)
Lineage: Eukaryota; Viridiplantae; Streptophyta; Magnoliopsida; Malpighiales; Euphorbiaceae
Source: RNAcentral